CAAAUUCUGGAGAAAUUAUUCAAAGUAGUCCUAAACUGUUCAUCCUAUCCUGCCUUACCCUUCUCUCAGAAACCCCAACAAAGGCCAUGCCUUACAACUUACCUUGCUCCUGUUUCUGCCUCCUGACCACUCUGGUCUUCCCCAUGUUGCCAUGUAUGGCAUGCCUCCUGUCUCUAGGACCGAUGCAGCAAAAGAGAAAAACAAUGAAAGUCUGUAUUAGUAACCAGAAAAACGGUCAGAAGUCUGAGGUACCUGAGAGAAGACAGCAAAAUGAGAUCUGGAAUUUGAGGAGCACCUGUUAGGAGAAGAGCCAUCUCUACUGUAAGCACAAGCAACACAGAGGGAGUGGGGAUGUCAGGAGGGUAUCCCAAGGACAACAUACAGGAUUUUGUCAUAUUCUUCCUCCAAAGAUCACAGAAAACUUGUGAUCCAUAUCCACUAUUUUUUGUUCCAAGUCUCUGAUAAGCAAGUCAUCCAAUCCAUGUUAAAACAGGCUGGAUUCUUGCAUCAUAAGACGUUAAUUUAUAUUUUUACAAGAUCCUUUUAGCUGGACUCCCCAAAAGAUUCCCUGUUCUAGUUGGCCUUCUAUAUUGGUGGUUUCUGAAUACAUACCCCAAAGAACCUGAGCAUCAGUGAAUUCUGGUAUCUUCUGGGAGCCCUGGAACUAAUCUCUUGAAGAUACCAACGGAUGACUGUGUUUUAAAAGGUAAGUGGAUUAGGAUAUUGACGGUGAUCAUUUUGCAUAAUUUUUUUCAUAAUGUUGGGCUUCCAAACAAAAGAUUAAAAGGCGAGAGAGAGAUGUCACUCAGGACU
This 813-nucleotide long non-coding RNA is filed under the name Homo sapiens (human). RNAcentral's name for it is "HSALNT0165401". Lineage: Eukaryota; Metazoa; Chordata; Mammalia; Primates; Hominidae. The record is from RNAcentral.